This 505-nucleotide ribosomal RNA is filed under the name uncultured Glomeromycotina. Its description in RNAcentral is "SSU rRNA". It matches the Rfam family "Eukaryotic small subunit ribosomal RNA", at positions 569 to 1077 of the family's 1831-position model. Lineage: Eukaryota; Fungi; Glomeromycota. The record is from RNAcentral.
AGCAGCCGCGGUAAUUCCAGCUCCAAUAGCGUAUAUUAAAGUUGUUGCAGUUAAAAAGCUCGUAGUUGAAUUUCAGGCCUGGCUGGACGGUCCGCCCUUCGGGUGAGUACUGUCUGUGGUCGGGUCCUACCUUCUGGCGAAGCGUCAUGGCCUUAACCGGCCGUGGCGGGGAACCAGGACUUUUACUGUGAAAAAAUUAGAGUGUUCAAAGCAGGCAAAUCGCUUGGAUACAUUAGCAUGGAAUAAUGGAAUAGGACAAUGGUUCUAUUUGUUGGUUUCUAGGACCGUUGUAAUGAUUAAUAGGGAUAGUUGGGGGCAUUAGUAUUCAAUUGUCAGAGGUGAAAUUCUUGGAUUUAUUGAAGACUAACUAUUGCGAAAGCAUUUGCCAAGGAUGUUUUCAUUAGUCAAGAACGAAAGUUAGGGGAUCGAAGACGAUCAGAUACCGUCGUAGUCUUAACCAUAAACUAUGCCGACUAGGAAUCGGGCGAUGUUGAAAAAAUGACGC